This 277-nucleotide ribosomal RNA is filed under the name uncultured bacterium. Its description in RNAcentral is "partial small subunit ribosomal RNA". It matches the Rfam family "Bacterial small subunit ribosomal RNA", at positions 26 to 287 of the family's 1533-position model. The record is from RNAcentral.
AGAACGAACGCUGGCGGCGUGGAUAAGACAUGCAAGUCGGGCGAGAUUUUUUUCUGUAGCAAUACAGGGAAACGUUUAGCGGCGAACGGGUGCUUAACACGUGGGCAACCUGCCGAGAAGUGGGGGAUAGCUCGCCGAAAGGCGAAUUAAUACCGCAUGUGAUUAGAGUGGACAUCCAUUCAAAAUCAAAGUCGGGGCAACCUGACGCUUCUUGAGGGGCCCGCGGCCUAUCAGCUAGUUGGUGAGGUAACGGCUCACCAAGGCUUUGACGGGUAGC